Molecule: transfer RNA, 97 nt
Organism: Coniosporium apollinis CBS 100218
Lineage: Eukaryota; Fungi; Ascomycota; Dothideomycetes
Rfam family: tRNA
About the family: Transfer RNA (tRNA) molecules are approximately 80 nucleotides in length. Their secondary structure includes four short double-helical elements and three loops (D, anti-codon, and T loops).
Source: Rfam
GGUCGCUUAGCUCAGUUGGUUAGAGCGUGGUGCUAAUAUCACGUGACAUCACGUGACCUAAACGCCAAGGUCGCGAGUUCGACCCUCGUAGUGACCA